AUGGCCGGUUGGGGAUGGUCAGUUCCAUCACACUGCGAGGAGAUGAUUCAUGGCCGGUCGGGGAUGGUCACCUGCGGUGAGCACGAGUACCUCCUCCAUAUCCUCCCAAUACUAGCACCCUUGGCGAUGAAAAUGACAGCCAGGAGAAUCCCUCCUUCACGCCUCUUUUCCAUCUCUGUCAGAUUGUCCUCUCCAGCAAGCCCGAAGGCCAACCUUAAUACUGGACCUCGAGAGGGGCAUGUGGCCAACCAUGCCGGAGGACGCAGAGGAGUUGUUUGGGAAUGUUAUCAUCAGAGGACCCAAGAAGCAGCCCACCACGGAUGCAUGGACGAACCACGCAAGUCCAUUCUUGCAAUCCAUCUGUGGCGAGGGUUCAUGACAGACAAGCCAAUAGAUUUGGGGGUCCACUUCCCGGUGAAACAAAUGUUCAUUGCGGACAAUAUGAAGACGAUGAUUGGAGCAUGUGAGCUCGGGUUGCACCUUGGAGCUCAAAAUUUGGUGUCUUCGCAUUGA
This 513-nucleotide ribosomal RNA is filed under the name Triticum aestivum (bread wheat). Its description in RNAcentral is "partial small subunit ribosomal RNA". Lineage: Eukaryota; Viridiplantae; Streptophyta; Magnoliopsida; Poales; Poaceae. The record is from RNAcentral.